CGAUCCAGCCAUUCCGCGUGAGGUGAAGAGGCCUUCGGGUUGUAAAGCUCUUCGGCAGGAACGAAAGGCUCUCUCUAACAUAGGGGGGUCAAUGACGGUACCUGAAGAAGAAGCACCGGCUAACUACGUGCCAGCAGCCGCGGUAAUACGUAGGGUGCGAGCGUUAAUCGGAAUUACUGGGCGUAAAGCGUGCGCAGGCGGCUUUGUAAGACAGAUGUGAAAUCCCCGGGCUUAACCUGGGAACUGCGUUUGUGACUGCAAGGCUUGAGUGCGGCAGAGGGGGGUGGAAUUCCACGUGUAGCAGUGAAAUGCGUAGAGAUGUGGAGGAACACCGAUGGCGAAGGCAGCCCCCUGGGUCGACACUGACGCUCAUGCACGAAAGCGUGGGUAGCAAACAGGAUUAGAUACCCUGGUAGUCCACGCCCCUAAACGAUGCCAACUAGGUGUUGGGGAAGGAGACUUCCUUAGUACCGUAGCUAACGCGUGAAGUUGGCCGCCUGGGGAGUACGGUCGCAAGAUUAAAACUCAAAGGAAUUGACGGGGG
RNAcentral lists this ribosomal RNA (544 nucleotides) under uncultured bacterium. RNAcentral's name for it is "bacterial SSU rRNA". It matches the Rfam family "Bacterial small subunit ribosomal RNA", at positions 384 to 919 of the family's 1533-position model. The record is from RNAcentral.